UCAAGCGCGAUAAGGGCGUUUGGUGGAUGCCUUGGCAGUAAGAGGCGAUGAAGGACGUGAUACUCUGCGAUAAGUCAUGGGGAGCUGAGAAUAAGCUUUGAUCCAUGAAUUUCCGAAUGGGGAAACCCACCUGAAACUUGGUUAUUGUUGCCAUAUGGCAGUCAAUAAUCGGGUUAACCAGGUAUCUUUUACCUGAAUACAUAGGGUUUAAGAAGCGAACCCGGGGAACUGAAACAUCUAAGUACCCGGAGGAAAGGAAAUCAACAGAUACUCCCCUAGUAGUGGCGAGCGAACGGGGACCAGCCGAGCCGUGAGAAUGACCAGAAUGGCCUGGAAAGGCCAGCCAUAGUGGGUGACAGCCCCGUAUGGGAAGUUUGAUCGGACGUAUUAAGUAGGGCGGGACACGUGAAAUCCUGUCUGAAGAUCGGGGGACCACCCUCGAAGGCUAAGUACUCCUUACUGACCGAUAGCGAACCAGUACCGUGAGGGAAAGGUGAAAAGCACCCCGACGAGGGGAGUGAAACAGUUUCUGAAACCGGACGCCUACAAGCAGUCGGAGCCUCCUUGAGAGGUGACGGCGUACCUUUUGUAUAAUGGGUCAACGACUUGGUCUAUCUAGCAAGCUUAAGCCGUUAGGUGUAGGCGCAGCGAAAGCGAGUCUUAAAUGGGCGACUUAGUUAGAUGGAUCAGACCCGAAACCAGAUGAUCUAGGCAUGAGCAGGAUGAAGGUUGGGUAACACCAACUGGAGGUCCGAACCCACACCUGUUGAAAAAGGUCGGGAUGACUUGUGCCUAGGGGUGAAAGGCCAAUCAAAUCUGGAGAUAGCUGGUUCUCCGCGAAAGCUAUUUAGGUAGCGCCUCGGACGUAUCCUCCUGGGGGUAGAGCACUACAUGGAUGAUGGGGGCCCACAGCCUUACUGAGUCUAAGUAAACUCCGAAUACCAGGAAGGACUAUCCGGGAGACACACGGCGGGUGCUAACGUCCGUCGUGGAGAGGGAAACAACCCUGACCAACAGCUAAGGCCCCCAAUUCGUGGCUAAGUGGGAAAGCAUGUGAGACUUCCAAAACAACCAGGAGGUUGGCUUAGAAGCAGCCAUCCUUUAAAGAUAGCGUAACAGCUCACUGGUCUAAAUAAGAGGUCUUGCGGCGAAGAUGUAACGGGGCUCAAGCCACGAGCCGAAGCUUUGGGUGUGCAUUUAUGCACGCGGUAGCGGAGCGUUCUGUGAUAUAGAACGCUGCCUCCUUAGUAUCCUCGGAUACAUUGGAGGCAUUGUUCUGACUGUGAAGCCGGGCUGUAAGGCAUCCGGUGGAGUGAUCAGAAGCGAGAAUGUUGACAUGAGUAGCGACAAACAGGGUGAGAGACCCUGUCGCCGAAAGUCCAAGGGUUCCUGCUUAAAGCUAAUCUGAGCAGGGUAAGCCGGCCCCUAAGGCGAGGCCGAAAGGCGUAGUCGAUGGGAACCAGGUUAAUAUUCCUGGGCCAGGAGAUGGUGACGGAUCAUAGAGGUAGUUCGGUCUUAACGGAUUGAUCGGGCUGCUGAGUGGUCCCUGGAAAUAGCCCUCCAUGAGACCGUACCCUAAACCGACACAGGUGGACUGGUAGAGAAUACCAAGGCGCUUGAGAGAACCACAUUUAAGGAACUCGGCAAAAUACCUCCGUAAGUUCGCGAGAAGGAGGCCCCGUUUGUACGCAAGUAUGGGCGGGGGGCACAAACCAGGGGGUGGCGACUGUUUACUAAAAACACAGGGCUCUGCGAAGCCGUAAGGCGACGUAUAGGGUCUGACGCCUGCCCGGUGCCGGAAGGUUAAAAGGAGAUGUGCAAGCAUUGAAUUGAAGCCCCGGUAAACGGCGGCCGUAACUAUAACGGUCCUAAGGUAGCGAAAUUCCUUGUCGGGUAAGUUCCGACCUGCACGAAUGGCGUAACGACUUCCCCGCUGUCUCAAAUGUGGACUCAGCGAAAUUGAAUUGUCUGUGAAGAUGCAGACUUCCCGCGGUUAGACGGAAAGACCCCAUGCACCUUUACUAUAGCUUCGCACUGGCAU
Molecule: ribosomal RNA, 2041 nt
Filed under: activated sludge metagenome
Description: bacterial LSU rRNA
Rfam family: Bacterial large subunit ribosomal RNA
Source: RNAcentral